UACGUAGGGGGCAAGCGUUGUCCGGAUUUACUGGGCGUAAAGAGCGUGUAGGCGGCCAAACAGGUCCGUUGUGAAAACUGGAGGCUCAACUUCCAGACGUCGACGGAAACCGUGUGGCUAGAGUCCGGAAGAGGAGAGUGGAAUUCCUGGUGUAGCGGUGAAAUGCGCAGAUAUCAGGAAGAACACCAAUUGCGAAGGCAGCUCACUACACAAAUAUUGACACUGAGGCACGAAAUCGUGGGGAUCAAACAGG
Molecule: ribosomal RNA, 253 nt
Filed under: uncultured bacterium
Lineage: Bacteria
Description: partial 16S ribosomal RNA
Rfam family: Bacterial small subunit ribosomal RNA
Source: RNAcentral